CCUACGGGUGGCAGCAGUGAGGAAUAUUGGUCAAUGGACGCGAGCCUGAACCAGCCAAGUAGCGUGAAGGAUGACUGCCCUCGGGGUUGUAAACUUCUUUUAUAAGGGAAUAAAUGGUGCCACGUGUGGCAUUUUGUAUGUACUUUAUGAAUAAGGAUCGGCUAACUCCGUGCCAGCAGCCGCGGUAAUACGGAGGAUCCGAGCGUUAUCCGGAUUUAUUGGGUUUAAAGGGAGCGUAGGUGGGCUGGUAAGUCAGUUGUGAAAGUUUGCGGCUCAACCGUAAAAUUGCAGUUGAUACUGGCAGGCUUGAGUACAGUAGAGGUAGGCGGAAUUCGUGGUGUAGCGGUGAAAUGCUUAGAUAUCACGAAGAACACCGAUGGCGAAGGCAGCCCACUGGACUGCAACUGACACUGAGGCUCGAAAGUGUGGGUAGCAAACAGGAUUAGAUACCCGUGUAGUC
Molecule: ribosomal RNA, 460 nt
Filed under: uncultured bacterium
Lineage: Bacteria
Description: partial 16S ribosomal RNA
Rfam family: Bacterial small subunit ribosomal RNA
Source: RNAcentral